RNAcentral lists this ribosomal RNA (504 nucleotides) under Vibrio sp. 1SW1S1. RNAcentral describes it as "bacterial SSU rRNA". It matches the Rfam family "Bacterial small subunit ribosomal RNA", at positions 380 to 876 of the family's 1533-position model. RNAcentral also lists the same sequence under 2 other names. Lineage: Bacteria; Pseudomonadati; Pseudomonadota; Gammaproteobacteria; Vibrionales; Vibrionaceae. The record is from RNAcentral.
AGCCUGAUGCAGCCAUGCCGCGUGUGUGAAGAAGGCCUUCGGGUUGUAAAGCACUUUCAGUCGUGAGGAAGGUAGUGUAGUUAAUAGCACCAUCAUUUGACGUUAGCGACAGAAGAAGCACCGGCUAACUCCGUGCCAGCAGCCGCGGUAAUACGGAGGGUGCGAGCGUUAAUCGGAAUUACUGGGCGUAAAGCGCAUGCAGGUGGUUUGUUAAGUCAGAUGUGAAAGCCCGGGGCUCAACCUCGGAAUAGCAUUUGAAACUGGCAGACUAGAGUACUGUAGAGGGGGGUAGAAUUUCAGGUGUAGCGGUGAAAUGCGUAGAGAUCUGAAGGAAUACCGGUGGCGAAGGCGGCCCCCUGGACAGAUACUGACACUCAGAUGCGAAAGCGUGGGGAGCAAACAGGAUUAGAUACCCUGGUAGUCCACGCCGUAAACGAUGUCUACUUGGAGGUUGUGGCCUUGAGCCGUGGCUUUCGGAGCUAACGCGUUAAGUAGACCGCCUGG